GGAGUGCCCAAUACAUAAUGUCAUAAAUCAGAUAAUAUAAUAACAUUAUGACUUGUUGUCAUACUUAAUAUGUCAAAAAACCACGUAUUUCUUGUAGUGUAAUUUGGGAUGGAGGGAGUUGUUCACGUAUCAAGUUCCCAACCUCUUCUCAAUUUUCCUAGCAGAUUCCCUUCGCUCCAACUUGGUUAAUUUCCUAUCGCUAGUUAAUUGGAAGACCCAAGUACCUCAUUUAGAAUUUAUCCUAGUUUGCAAUUAAAAGCACCCGCCACAACAUUGUUCUCCACCUCAUCCAUGCCAGUAGUGAACAACUCACUCUUUGAGUAAUUUAUUCUCAUCACUAAUAGUUCUUCACAGCAAAACACACAUAACUCCUGUUCAAAGUUUCACACAAAAAAAUUGUGUCAAUGAGUUAAUCCACCCUCCACUGACUAAGGCACCAAACCUGUUAAAAGUUCAGUUUUCAAAAUCUCAGCCAGGGCAUUACCAAUCAGGGUAAACCACAUUUAUAGUAACUUCUCAUACCGUACCAUAAACAUUUGCGGUAUUCCAAAUUGCGUAAUAAAGCCUAACAUUUGCAGUUUUUUGGUAGUGGACUCAUCGUUUUAUUGUAGGUGUAUAGACAAACGCAGCCUUGCAUCAUUCGCUGUGGGUUGUGUUCGCACACGAACACGUCACGUGUGCCCCCAGCGAUGAGCGCGAUGUGCAAGACACGUCGCAAGGGGAGUCUCGUCGGGAGCACGAUACGCAAGACACGCCGGCGAGAGCUCUUGAAACCCGACACCCCAUGCUUCUGGGAGGGACCCCGUCAGGGAGAACGGCGGUGAUGGGCUGCCCUAGGUCGGCGUGGCCGCCCUAGGACCUUGGGUUCGCUGUCGUAACGAAGUAGACGGCAACGAAGAACAAGAAAAAAGUAGAGAGAAAAUAGUAGUUGCAAAAUAAUGUAGUAGAUUGAUAUUCGGUUGUGUGUUGUCAAUCGGCCAUCACCCUUUAUAUUUGAGUCUGUCUAGUUGAUACUCAUGUGUUUUGAAGGCAACCAGCACAUGGGUGUUUUGUGCCAAUAAAACACAUGAAUUUCAAGAACUCAAAAAUCAUGUGUUUUUUUAAAACCUAACACACGAUUUUGUGCAGCCUAGGCAACACAAGAUUCCCACCAGAGAAAGGAAAAAUCAUGUGUUUUUCCUAAAGUAGCACACAGAUUCUGUUGUAUCUGUCUGUUGUAAUUAUCUUCUGUUUUUUUCCUAAAGUUUCAAUUCUGUUGUACCCUAUCUUCCUCUACCACUACAGGAACAAAAGGGAUGAAUCCUCAACACCGUCAAAUGGGAAAUAGUAAAACAAAAUUGAAACUCAUAGGUCACAAGAAUAGAUAUUGCACAUGUUAAAUACCAUAAUUGCACUAAUUCAAAUGUGCAAUUGUCUACUAAUAAAUGUGCAAUCUAGAAAUAGAUACUAACUGGUACAAAUCAUAGUUAACAAAUUUAAGGAUAUGUCUUAGCACAACAUAAGCACAAAAACAAGAUUACAAGAGACAAUUUUUUCUAUGGAAGAACAAUUUAUAAAAAAACAAUUUCUUCAUGCUUGAGGACCAACAAAAUCACAAAAGACAAGGACAAUUUUUUACUAAGGAAGGACAAAUCAUAUUUUUUUCAUCCUAAAAUAAUCACAGAGAGAGGGGGAAGGACCGGCACAAACACAAAAUACAAGAGACAAAUAUUUUUUCUAUGGAAGGACAAUUUACAAAUUUUGUUUGUUCAUCCUUACACAAUCACUGAAAGAGGGGGGACGACCAGCACAAUCACAAAAGGGAUGAAUCCUCAACACCGUCAAAUCAGAAAUAGCAAACAAAAUUGAAACUUAUAGGUGACGAGAAUAUAUAUUGCACAUGUUAAAUACCAUAAUUGCAGUAAUUCAAAUGUGCAAUUGUCUACUAAUAAAUGUGCAAUCUAGAAAUAGAUACUAACUAGUAUGAUUCAAAGUUUCAGCCAAUCUAGAAAUAGAUAAUAAAUGUGCAAGUUGUUGUGUGCUAGCACAAAUUACAAAAAGAUGUCAAUUGAUUGAAUGUUUCCUUUUUUUCACUUUGAAUCUGAGGAGGAACAAACAGCGGAACUUACAGGGCCAAGAAACUUGAUACAUUACUUGUGCAACUUUGAUCUACAAUAAUGCUCCUCGAAGUUGACAUCUUUCCCUUCUCCCACAUCCAAUCUGUUCAAAGAAUUACAAAAUGUGUGUAUCACUAGAAGAAUGACUGUUUACUCAUGUUCAAAGAAGUACAGAAUGUGUGUACCACUAGAACAAUGGCUGCUUACACUGACAGUGCAGCCAGCAGUGGUAGUAGAAGUGAAGGUUAGGCCAUACCAAUGUCGAGGGUUAGUCUGACAAUAAAAAAUGGAACACAAUUCAGUUUUUGAUUGCUCACUAGUAUAAUAUAACCAGCAUUAUAUUCUUGGUACAAAUCAUAGUUAACAAAUUUAAGGAUAUGUCAUAGCACAGCACAAGCACAAAAAAUAAUAUUACAAGAGACAAUUUUUUCUAUGGAAGAACAAUUUACAAAAAUAGUUUCUUCAUGCUAGCACAAUUAUGAGGACCAACAAAGUUGUAGAAGACAAGGGACAAUUUUUUACUAAGGAAGGAUAUAUUAUAUUUUUUUCUUCAUCCUAAAACAAUCACAGAGAGAGGGGGAAGGACCCGCACAAACACAAAAUACAAGGGACAAUAUUUUUUCUAUAGGAAGACAAUUUACAAAUUUUGUUUAUUCAUCCUAAAACAAUCACAGAGAGAGGGGAGGACCCGCACAAACACAAAAUACAAGGGACAAUAUUUUUUCUAUAGAAAGACAAUUUACAAUUUUUGUUUAUUGAUCCUAACACAAUCACUCAAAGAGGGGGGAGGACCAGCACAAUCACAAAAGACAAGGGACAAUUUUUUUCUUAGGAAGGACAAUUUACAAAAAAUAUUUUUUCUAGGUCAUGGAUGAAACUUUCUGUGCAAGAUAAUGUUGUAACCUUACUAUGUCCAUGGGCAUUAGAAAUCCUAGUCAAGUGUAGGUAAGAACAAAAUACCUAUUGGGGUGGCUAGAAACUGAAUCGCCAAUGCACUACCUAAUGAUAUGAAGGCAGCUCAGGACACGGUCUCAGGGAGCUUCCUCCAUUGCUAUUCCUCUGCUUAUGUCCUCAAGCCUGCACAACAAAACAGAAAUAGAAGAACAGUUUCAACCCUCCUCCUUUACCAGGGCUUGGGACCUGCUACGAUAGGACACUAUAGGUGGCCCAUCGUAGGCGGAGUUAAAAACUUUUAACAAUAUAUAUAUAUAGAC
Molecule: long non-coding RNA, 3310 nt
Filed under: Sorghum bicolor (sorghum)
Lineage: Eukaryota; Viridiplantae; Streptophyta; Magnoliopsida; Poales; Poaceae
Description: long non-coding RNA (SBIC_LNC012576)
Source: RNAcentral